This 1920-nucleotide ribosomal RNA is filed under the name Triticum aestivum (bread wheat). RNAcentral's name for it is "partial small subunit ribosomal RNA". Lineage: Eukaryota; Viridiplantae; Streptophyta; Magnoliopsida; Poales; Poaceae. The record is from RNAcentral.
AUGUCCGGCUUGCUGAAUUCAAAUCUUAACAGUUCCACAUCGAACCUUCCAGACUCAACCGGACGGCCAUUCACAACAUCCUUUUCUGGCCAAUCUGGAUCAGUUCAAGGUUUCCAUCACUCUGGUCUGCACAACAUUCAUGGAAAUUAUAGUCUUCCAAAUAUGCCUGGAUCACUUGCACAAAGGAAUGCUGCGAUGAGUGGCCUUCCAUCCUCCGGUGUUCAACAGCCUGGAGGGAGCAUUUCUGGGAGAUUUGCUUCAAACAACCUCCCUGUUGCCAUGUCUCAGAUUCCUCAUGCACAUUCAGGUGUCAGUGGUAGAGGAAUGAAUGUUGGUGGAGGUCAAGCAUUCAGCAGUGGAAUGAACAUGGGUGGUACCAUUCAAGGUUUAUCCUCAAACUUGGGCACCAGUGGUAAUCGAAAUUCUGUUCCUGGCAAUCCAGCUUUAGGAAACCUGGGUCCACGUAUUACAAGCUCCACGGGAAACAUUGUGGGUGGAAGUAACAUUGGAAGAAACAUAAGCUCUGGUGGAUUGUCGGUGCCAAGUAUCUCAUCACGCAUCGAUUUUAGUGGCAAUGCUGCAAGUGGAAGACUAAAUGUGCAAGGAUCUAACAGGAUGAUGAAUGGCCUUAUUCCGCAAGGAUCGUCGCAACUGAUGAAUAUGAUUGGAAGCUCAUACCCAACGUCUGGUGCUUCAUUGUCCCAGAACCAAAUGCAACCAGUAAAUAGUUCUUUGGGUUCUAUAGGGAUGCUACAUGACGCCAGUGACAGCGCUCCAUUCGACAUCAAUGAUUUCCCCCAAUUGACUGGUCGACCUAAUUCAGCUGGUGGUCCACAGGGACAAUAUGGAUCACUACGGAAGCAAGGAGUUGGUGUUAACUCCAUUGUUCAACAAAACCAGGAGUUCAGUAUUCAGAACGAAGAUUUCCCCGCUUUGCCAGGAUUUAAAGGUGGCAGUUCAGAUUAUCCUAUGGAGUUACAUCACAAGGAACAGCUUCAUGAGAAUGUGCCUGUAAUGCAAGCACCACAAUAUCCUAUGUCAAGGUCAGUUGGGUUUAAUUUGGGAAGUAAUUACCAACCAAAUCGUCAGCAACAUCAGCAGGGUGCUGCUAAUUCAAUUCAGAGCGGUGGGCCCCAAAAUAUUGGACUAAGACCACUAAACUCUCAGAGUCAAACUUCUAGCUUGGGAUCAUACGAGCAACUGCUCCAGCAAUACCAGCAGCCGCAGACUCAGAGUCCUUUCAGGUUGCAGCAGAUGUCUUCUUCAGCUGCACAGACAUAUGCGGAUCAUGGUCUAAAGCCCAUUCUGGGAGGCCGAACCCCACCUGAUCCAUACGGCUUGUUAGGAUUGCUGGGAGUUAUAAGGAUGAAUGAUCCUGAUUUGUCAUCUCUUGCUUUGGGAAUAGAUUUGACAACGUUGGGUUUGAAUUUGAAUUCACCCGACAAUCUGUACAAGACAUUUGGCUCUCCAUUUUCAAAUGAACCAGCAAAAGGAGAACCCGAAUAUACUACUCCAGCUUGUUAUGUGGCUGAGCAACCCCCAGCACUACAGCCUAUGCAUUUUCAGAAGUUUCAGACACUCAUACUGUUAUACAUAUUCUACAGCAUGCCGAAGGAUGAAGCUCAAAUAUGUGCGGCCAAUGAACUAUAUAAUCGUGGAUGGUAUUACCAUAAAGAAGCACGGCAAUGGUUCACAAGAAUUCCUAACAUGGAGCCUCUUGUCAAAACUCCUACAUAUGAACGGGGGUCUUAUGCCUUCUUUGAUCAAGGCAAUUGGGAGACAGUCCGUAAGGAUAACUUUGUUCUCCAUUAUGAGCUAGUAGAGAAAAGGCCAAGUCUCCCUUCCGCAUCCCAAAUUGUUAGGUACCUCCUGACUCUAGCUUUCUUGUACAUGAAUAGGGAGCUUUCUUUACAAACAUAG